UCCUCAGUAGCUCAGUGGUAGAGCGGUCGGCUUAACCGAUUGGUCGUAGGUUCGAAUCCUACUUGGGGAG
Non-coding RNA from Helianthus annuus (common sunflower), 70 nucleotides. NCBI's taxonomy places the organism in Eukaryota, Viridiplantae, Streptophyta, Magnoliopsida, Asterales, Asteraceae. The record is from Rfam.